GUGCUUGCUUCAGCAGCACAUAUACUAAAAUUGGAAUGAUACAGAGAAGAUUAGUUUGGCCCCUGCGUAAGGAUGACACAUAAAUUCGUGAAGCAUUCCAUAUUUUU
Molecule: small nuclear RNA, 107 nt
Filed under: Cervus hanglu yarkandensis (Yarkand deer)
Lineage: Eukaryota; Metazoa; Chordata; Mammalia; Artiodactyla; Cervidae
Source: RNAcentral